Long non-coding RNA from Carya illinoinensis, 1173 nucleotides. RefSeq lists it as uncharacterized. The record is from RefSeq and is a predicted model, not a curated record. NCBI's taxonomy places the organism in Eukaryota, Viridiplantae, Streptophyta, Magnoliopsida, Fagales, Juglandaceae. The transcript has 3 exons.
CUGCAGCGCGGGGGGGGGGGGGGGGCGGGCGAUUCUGUGUUUGACAAAUUACAGUCUAGUUUGUAGUUUCCUUUUGUUUGUUUGUUUGUUUAAAAUUAGGUAAAAGCCAAGUUCCUCGAAUAUUUUUUUAUGAUCAUAGAAAAGGAUAAUCAGAUCCCUAUUAACAAACAUCUCCUUAAAGCGACGGCAUCCCCUGAUCGGAACAUCACAUCUCAAUUCACCUUCAACCCCCCACCCCCACUGGGGGUGACCCCUCGGCGGCAUUCCUGCCUCGACUUCAAUGGCUUCAGGGUUCCUCAAGCUCCUCAGAAAAUCGCCAGCCGCAAGAUUCAUCGCCGCUUUGCAAAAUCCACAAGCCCCGAAUCCUACAGCAUCUCUUAUAUUUUCCCAGACCUGUCUCAUCGAACCCACCGAUCCAACUCCGUUUCUGGGUUCACACAAAGCAGAGAACUUGACCCAUUCCGAGUUUUCAAGGAUUUACCCAAGCUUCCCAUUUGCGUUUUACUUAAACCCGUUUUGCUCAACUUUGUCGGUCCCGUCUGAGGCAGAGGACGCGGCGCUUGGUGAUUGCGGGACCGUCUGGGCAGAUAGUGUGAAGAAGAAGAGGAAGAGAAAGAUGAACAAGCACAAGUACCAGAAACUGAGGAAGCGUCUCGGGAGGCAGACUUAGGUGCCAUUUUUAGAUAUAGAAGACUACUUAAUCUAUGGACUGCAUGUUGCAAGGGAAAUGAGUUAAUCUAUGGACUGCAUGAUGUCGAGCACGCUGCCUUCUCCCAGCGCUCGUUUGCUCACGUUUCCCACGAUCUUGGCACCACCGAUCUUUGAUAGAAGGGACAACCCCUCCUCGUUACUGACGGGACCCAGUCAAAUUAGAUCUGCUCAGUGCCGACAAGUACCGCAGCACCAAGUGCGUCUGCCUAAUAUUAUUGGGCGCGCUUCCAUAUUAAACUGGGCCCAGAAAGGUUUUGACCUUUUUUCCCUUGUGUUAUAGGGCACCCCCAUUUGCCGUGCUAAACAUUAAAUAUUUGCAAGAGGGUCCUUUGGCAUAUAGGGCACCAUAGUAGAUUCACACAAUACGUGUAAUUGGGAACAAUGACGGUGCAGGUUUCUGAAAUGUUAGUCUGGUGCUGAUCACCCCAGAUAACUAAUAAAACUUUCUCACGGGUUUCCUUA